Molecule: ribosomal RNA, 542 nt
Filed under: uncultured bacterium
Lineage: Bacteria
Description: partial 16S rRNA
Rfam family: Bacterial small subunit ribosomal RNA
Source: RNAcentral
UGGGGAAUCUUCCGCAAUGGACGAAAGUCUGACGGAGCAACGCCGCGUGAGUGAUGACGGCCUUCGGGUUGUAAAGCUCUGUUAAUCGGGACGAAAGGCCUUCUUGCGAAUAGUUAGAAGGAUUGACGGUACCGGAAUAGAAAGCCACGGCUAACUACGUGCCAGCAGCCGCGGUAAUACGUAGGUGGCAAGCGUUGUCCGGAAUUAUUGGGCGUAAAGCGCGCGCAGGCGGAUUGGUCAGUCUGUCUUAAAAGUUCGGGGCUUAACCCCGUGAUGGGAUGGAAACUGCCAAUCUAGAGUAUCGGAGAGGAAAGUGGAAUUCCUAGUGUAGCGGUGAAAUGCGUAGAUAUUAGGAAGAACACCAGUGGCGAAGGCGACUUUCUGGACGAAAACUGACGCUGAGGCGCGAAAGCCAGGGGAGCGAACGGGAUUAGAUACCCCGGUAGUCCUGGCCGUAAACGAUGGNNNNNCNUNNGNNNNCUCCUUCUGUGCCGGAGUUAACGCAAUAAGUACCCCGCCUGGGGAGUACGACCGCAAGGUUG